AAGACAAGGUUUUACUCUUGGGUUCGUACUACAUUACUCUUCUUGCACACGAUCCACCAUUGGAGAAAACCUGUCAGGUUCGAGUUGAUGAACGAGAAUAUGGCAGUCGCUAUUGUGGUGCGUUGUUCAAUGUUUUAAUACAAGUCAAGAGUAUAAAAUCAAAUCUCACUUGCUGAAUUAAUAAUGUUGCAUAGCGGCGGGCGGCGGAGACCACCAAGGAGCACUUCAUACCUCACUUUCAUGGUAGCGCAGUGUCAGAUGGUGUCUUCCAAGGUCCAUUGCCUGAUUGGCCGUCAGAUGAUGCUUUCAAUCAUGAUAGAAACCGGUUUUACGUGCUGAAGAUAUCAGAGUGGCAAGCCACUGAUUGGAUUUCUCUAUAUUUGGAACUUUUGAUUUUUGAUUUUUUUUUUGGUGAAAAAUCAAACUGAGUACAGAAUGGUUUGUUGGUACACAUAAAAAGAUGAGUAAUAAUCAAAUCAAAACAAUAACUUUACAAUUCAUGCCACUAAACGGCAACCCAAAUCGUGUAUAAUAUCCUCACAAAUUAGCUGCAACAAACGUAAAUACGCUAAAUCUUAAUAUUAAUAA
Arabidopsis lyrata subsp. lyrata is the source of this 588-nucleotide long non-coding RNA. RefSeq lists it as uncharacterized. The record is from RefSeq and is a predicted model, not a curated record. Lineage: Eukaryota; Viridiplantae; Streptophyta; Magnoliopsida; Brassicales; Brassicaceae. The transcript is spliced from 2 exons.